GGAUGAAAGCAAUAGCUGAUUGCAUUUAAUUUAAUGUAGUUACUACUUGGUAGUUUAAAUUUCUAGGUAGAAUUAUGAUGAUGACAUUAUCUAUCUAUUAGUCUUGACCAAAUUACGUGCCAGCAGUCGCGGUAAUACGUAGAAGACAAGUGUUAUUCAUCUUUAUUAGGUUUAAAGAGUACCAAGACGGUUAAUAAAGCCCAAAAGAAAUGAAUACGGGGGACACAUUAACUAGAGUUAUAUGAAAGGAAGCUUUAAGGUACUGUUGAGUGUAGAGAUGAAAUUUAAUGAUACCAGAUGAUUGGCACAGAUUUAUGCGAAGGCAUCUUCUUAUGUAAUAACUGACGUUGUAGGACGAAGGCUUAGGUAAUGAACAGGAUUUGGUACCCCAGUAAUCUAGGCAGAAAAUGAUGAAUGUCAUAGGUUGAAUACAGACGAUUAAAGAGACUAUCUAAUAGUAAAUAGGUGGUUUAUUAAAUAUACUAUCUAAUAAUAAAUAAUCAGUCUAUUAUUGUGUCUAUAAAUGAAAGUGUAAGCAUUCCACCUCAAGAGUAAUUUGGCAACAUUGGAACUGAAAUCAUUAGACCGUUUCUGAAACCAGUAGUGAAGUAUGUUGUUUAAUUAGAUGAUACACAAAAACCUUACCACAAUUUGAAUAUAUAUAAAAUAUAUUUACAAGCGCUGCACGGCUGUCUACAGUUAAUGUCGUGAGACUUUGGUUAGCUCCAUUAAAUUGACGAAAACCCUAAUUUUAUUUAUAAAUAUAAUUAACAUUGCUAUAUUUGAUGUUUAAGAGGGAAURACAGUCAUCAU
Molecule: ribosomal RNA, 813 nt
Filed under: Sticta aff. weigelii 2 JAMD-2022
Lineage: Eukaryota; Fungi; Ascomycota; Lecanoromycetes; Peltigerales; Lobariaceae
Description: SSU rRNA
Source: RNAcentral